GACGAACGCUGGCGGCGUGCCUAAUACAUGCAAGUAGAACGCUGAAGGAGGAGCUUGCUUCUCCGGAUGAGUUGCGAACGGGUGAGUAACGCGUAGGUAACCUGCCUGGUAGCGGGGGAUAACUAUUGGAAACGAUAGCUAAUACCGCAUAACAGUAGAUAUUGCAUGAUAUCUGCUUGAAAGGUGCAAUUGCAUCACUACCAGAUGGACCUGCGUUGUAUUAGCUAGUUGGUGAGGUAACGGCUCACCAAGGCGACGAUACAUAGCCGACCUGAGAGGGUGAUCGGCCACACUGGGACUGAGACACGGCCAGACUCCUACGGGAGGCAGCAGUAGGGAAUCUUCGGCAAUGGACGGAAGUCUGACCGGGCAACGCCGCGUGAGUGAAGAAGGUUUUCGGAUCGGAAAGCUCUGUUGUAAGAGAAGAACGAGUGUGGUAGUGGAAAGUUCACACUGUGACGGUAUCUUACCAGAAAGGGACGGCUAACUACGUG
Molecule: ribosomal RNA, 494 nt
Filed under: uncultured bacterium
Lineage: Bacteria
Description: partial 16S ribosomal RNA
Rfam family: Bacterial small subunit ribosomal RNA
Source: RNAcentral